UACGGAGGGUGCGAGCGUUAUCCGGAAUCACUGGGCGUAAAGGGUGCGUAGGCGGGUCUUUAAGUCAGGGGUGAAAUCCUGGAGCUCAACUCCAGAACUGCCUUUGAUACUGAAGAUCUUGAGUUCGGGAGAGGUGAGUGGAACUGCGAGUGUAGAGGUGAAAUUCGUAGAUAUUCGCAAGAACACCAGUGGCGAAGGCGGCUCACUGGCCCGAUACUGACGCUGAGGCACGAAAGCGUGGGGAGCAAACAGG
Molecule: ribosomal RNA, 253 nt
Filed under: uncultured bacterium
Lineage: Bacteria
Description: partial 16S ribosomal RNA
Rfam family: Bacterial small subunit ribosomal RNA
Source: RNAcentral